This 470-nucleotide ribosomal RNA is filed under the name uncultured bacterium. RNAcentral's name for it is "bacterial SSU rRNA". It matches the Rfam family "Bacterial small subunit ribosomal RNA", at positions 28 to 487 of the family's 1533-position model. The record is from RNAcentral.
GACGAACGCUGGCGGCGCGCUUAACACAUGCAAGUCGAGCGAGAACCGGGACUUCGGUCCCGGGGACAGCGGCGAACGGGUGAGUAACACGUGGGUAAUCUGCCCUCGAUUCUGGGAUAGCCCGGGGAAACCCGGAUUAAUACCGGAUAGCCUUUCGAGCCUUCGGGCGCGAAAGAAAAGGUAGCUUCGGCCUCCGAUCGAGGAUGAGCCCGCGGUGGAUUAGCUUGUUGGCGGGGUAAUGGCCCACCAAGGCGACGAUCCAUAGCUGGUCUGAGAGGACGAUCAGCCACACUGGGACUGAGACACGGCCCAGACUCCUACGGGAGGCAGCAGUGGGGAAUCUUGCGCAAUGGGCGAAAGCCUGACGCAGCGACGCCGCGUGGGGAAGAAGGCCUUAGGGUUGUAAACCCUUUCAGGUGGGACGAAGCCACUCGGGUGAAUAGCCCAGAGGGUGACGGUACCGCCAGAAG